Molecule: ribosomal RNA, 271 nt
Filed under: uncultured bacterium
Lineage: Bacteria
Description: partial 16S ribosomal RNA
Rfam family: Bacterial small subunit ribosomal RNA
Source: RNAcentral
UACAGAGGGUGCGAGCGUUAAUCGGAAUGACUGGGCGUAAAGCGCGCGUAGGCGGUUAUACAAGUUGGGUGUGAAAUCCCUGGGCUUAACCUAGGAAUUGCAUUCAAAACUAUAUGACUUGAGUGAAGUAGAGGUGAGUGGAAUUUCCGGAGUAGCGGUGAAAUGCGUAGAUACCGGAAGGAACACCAGUGGCGAAGGCGACUCACUGGGCUUUAACUGACGCUGAGGUGCGAAAGCGUGGGGAGCAAACAGGAUUAGAUACCCGUGUAGU